Molecule: ribosomal RNA, 569 nt
Filed under: uncultured Alphaproteobacteria bacterium
Lineage: Bacteria; Pseudomonadati; Pseudomonadota; Alphaproteobacteria
Description: bacterial SSU rRNA
Rfam family: Bacterial small subunit ribosomal RNA
Source: RNAcentral
GGGAGCUCUCCCAUAUGGUCGACCUGCAGGCGGCCGCGAAUUCACUAGUGAUUAGAGUUUGAUCCUGGCUCAGAACGAACGCUGGCGGCAUGCCUAACACAUGCAAGUCGAACGAGCCCUUCGGGGCUAGUGGCGCACGGGUGCGUAACGCGUGGGAAUCUGCCCUUGGCUUCGGAAUAACAGUUAGAAAUGACUGCUAAUACCGGAUGAUGUCUUCGGACCAAAGAUUUAUCGGCCAGGGAUGAGCCCGCGUAGGAUUAGGUAGUUGGUGGGGUAAAGGCCUACCAAGCCGACGAUCCUUAGCUGGUCUGAGAGGAUGAUCAGCCACACUGGGACUGAGACACGGCCCAGACUCCUACGGGAGGCAGCAGUGGGGAAUAUUGGACAAUGGGCGCAAGCCUGAUCCAGCAAUGCCGCGUGAGUGAUGAAGGCCUUAGGGUCGUAAAGCUCUUUUACCCGGGAUGAUAAUGACAGUACCGGGAGAAUAAGCUCCGGCUAACUCCGUGCCAGCAGCCGCGGUAAUACGAAUCGAAUUCCCGCGGCCGCCAUGGCGGCCGGGAGCAUGCGAC